This is a small nuclear RNA of Suncus etruscus (white-toothed pygmy shrew), 110 nucleotides long. Lineage: Eukaryota; Metazoa; Chordata; Mammalia; Eulipotyphla; Soricidae. The record is from RefSeq and is a predicted model, not a curated record.
UUUUCUAGACUUGAAAAUUAUGAUUGUUUUUAAGAAUGGUAUACAGAGAAGAUUAUCAUGGUCUCUGCACAAGGAUGACAAGCAUUCCAUAUUUAAAGAAUGGUCUAUAU